GGGGAAUUUUCCGCAAUGGGCGAAAGCCUGACGGAGCAAGACCGCGUGAGGGAUGAAGGCCUUUGGGUUGUAAACCUCUUUUCUCAGGGAAGAAUACAAUGACGGUACCUGAGGAAUAAGCCUCGGCUAACUCCGUGCCAGCAGCCGCGGUAAGACGGAGGAGGCAAGCGUUAUCCGGAAUCAGGAGGCGUAAAGAGUGGGCAGGGGUCCCCCAGUGUUCAUGGGGAAUGUUCGGCAAUG
Molecule: ribosomal RNA, 240 nt
Filed under: uncultured cyanobacterium
Lineage: Bacteria; Bacillati; Cyanobacteriota
Description: partial 16S ribosomal RNA
Rfam family: Bacterial small subunit ribosomal RNA
Source: RNAcentral